RNAcentral lists this ribosomal RNA (408 nucleotides) under Pholetesor bedelliae. Its description in RNAcentral is "partial 16S ribosomal RNA". Lineage: Eukaryota; Metazoa; Arthropoda; Insecta; Hymenoptera; Braconidae. The record is from RNAcentral.
CUGCUCAAUGAAUAAUUUAAAUAGCUGCAGUAUCCUUAACUGUACAAAGGUAGCAUAAUAAUUAGUUUUUUAAUUGAAAACUUGAAUGAAUGAUUUAAUGAAAUAUAAACUGUUUCAAAUCUAUUAAAUGAAAUUUUUAUUUAAAUAAAAAAAUUUAAAUUAAUAUUAAAGACGAGAAGACCCUAUAGAAAUUUUUUUAAUUUUUAAAUAAUUUUAAAUUAUUUUUAAAUUAUUUUUUAAUUGGGGUAAUUUUAAAAUUUAUUAAUUUUUUAAUUAAAUAAACAUAAAUUUUUGAAAUAUUUAAAUUUUUUAAAAAAAUAAAUUAAAUUACCUUAGGGAUAACAGCAUAAUUUUUUUUAAAAGUUUAAAUUAAAAAAAAAGUUUAUGACCUCGAUGUUGAAUUAAGAU